GAUGAACGCUAGCGGCAGGCCUAACACAUGCAAGUCGAGGGGCAUCAUGGCGUAGCAAUACGCUGAUGGCGACCGGCGCACGGGUGCGUAACGCGUAUGGAACCUACCCACCGCAGGGGGAUAACCCGCCGAAAGGCGGACUAAUACCCCAUGGUUCCCCGACCCUGCCUGGGGUUGGGGGUAAAGCCUACGGGCGGCGGUGGAUGGCCCUGCGUGCCAUUAGCUAGUUGGUGGGGUAAUGGCCUACCAAGGCGAUGAUGUCUAGGGGUGUGAGAGCAUGGCCCCCACGACCGGAACUGAGAUACUGUCCGGACACCUACGGGUGGCUGCAGUCGAGAAUCUUCCGCAAUGGACGAAAGUCUGACGGAGCGACGCCGCGUGCGGGAUGAAGGCCCUUGGGUUGUAAACCGCUGUCAGAGGGGAUGAAAUCUUCGGAGGUACUCCUCCGGAGUUGACAGAGCCUCAAAGGAAGCACGGGCUAAGUACGUG
Molecule: ribosomal RNA, 489 nt
Filed under: uncultured bacterium
Lineage: Bacteria
Description: bacterial SSU rRNA
Rfam family: Bacterial small subunit ribosomal RNA
Source: RNAcentral